GAUGAACGCUGGCGGCGUGCUUAACACAUGCAAGUCGAACGAAGCACUUGAAUGGAAUUCUUCGGAAGGAAGCUCAAGUGACUGAGUGGCGGACGGGUGAGUAACGCGUGGGUAAGCUGCCUCAUACAGGGGGAUAACAGUUAGAAAUGACUGCUAAUACCGCAUAAGCACACGUGAUCGCAUGAUUGAGUGGGAAAAACUCCAGUGGUAUGAGAUGGACCCGCGUCUGAUUAGCUAGUUGGUUGGGUAAUGGCCCACCAAGGCGACGAUCAGUAGCCGGCCUGAGAGGGUGACCGGACACAUUGGGACGGAGACACGGCCCAAACUCCUACGGGAGGCAGCAGUGGGGAAUAUUGCACAAUGGGGGGGACCCUGAUGCAGCGACGCCGCGUGAAGGAUGAAGUAUUUCGGUAUGUAAACUUCUAUCAGCAGGGAAGAAAAUGACGGUACCUGACUAGGAAGCCCCGGCUAACUACGUGCCAGCAGCCGCAGUAA
Molecule: ribosomal RNA, 495 nt
Filed under: uncultured bacterium
Lineage: Bacteria
Description: partial 16S ribosomal RNA
Rfam family: Bacterial small subunit ribosomal RNA
Source: RNAcentral